This 1041-nucleotide ribosomal RNA is filed under the name Triticum aestivum (bread wheat). RNAcentral's name for it is "partial small subunit ribosomal RNA". Lineage: Eukaryota; Viridiplantae; Streptophyta; Magnoliopsida; Poales; Poaceae. The record is from RNAcentral.
AUGCUUCCAACCGACUGUGUCGUCUUCAUUGCGCUCCUCGUGCUGCUCGGAGACGCGGCGACCGCCGUCGCUGGCAUCCGCGUCGACCCUGCCAUGAUGAUCCGGCAGCCGUUGGAUUCUAUCCCUACGUUCCGCGAGGCGCCCGCCUUCCGAAACGGCGCCGAGUGCGCUGGCGGUGACAAGGUGAACGUCGCCAUGACGCUGGACGCUAACUACCUCCGUGGCACCAUGGCCGGCGUGCUCUCCAUCCUGCAGCACACAGCGUGCCCGGAGAACGUGGUGUUUCACUUCCUCGCCGCCCGGAUGGACGGUGACCUCGUCGCCAUGCUGCGCGCGACCUUCCCUUACCUGGACCUCCGCGUGUACCGAUUCGACCCGUCGCGCGUCCGGGGACGUAUCUCCCGGUCGAUCCGCCAUGCGCUAGACCAGCCGCUCAACUACGCGCGCAUCUACCUUGCCGACACGCUUCCCCCUGAUGUGCGCCGGGUUAUCUACCUCGACUCCGACGUGAUCGUCGCCGACGACAUCCGCACACUCUUCUCUGUGGACCUCGCGGGCCACGUGGUGGGCGCACCGGAGUACUGCCACGCCAACUUCACCAACUACUUCACGGACACAUUUUGGAUGGACCGGGCGCUCAGCGGAACAUUCCACGGGCGGCGCCCGUGCUACUUCAACACCGGCGUGAUGGUGAUGGACGUGGACCAGUGGCGCACCGGCGGGUACACGAGGCGGGUGGAAGGGUGGAUGGCCGUGCAGAAGCAGAAGAGAAUCUACCACCUCGGCUCUCUGCCGCCGUUCCUUCUGGUGCUCGCCGGGGAUAUCCAGGCCGUGGACCACCGGUGGAACCAGCACGGGCUAGGCGGCGACAAUGUCAAAGGGCGGUGCCGGGGCCUGCACCCGGGACCCAUCAGCCUGCUGCACUGGAGCGGCAAGGGAAAGCCCUGGCACCGUCUCGAUGCCCGGCGGCCGUGCACCGUCGACUACCUCUGGGCGCCCUACGACCUCUACCGGCCAUCGUCGCCGGUACUUGAGGAGUGA